GUGGGCAGGCAGACGGAGGCAAGCACAGCGCGGGCCAGAGCACAGCGCCGAUCCAAAGGCUCGCGACUUGAUAACGUGGAUGUUUACAACUCGCAUCUGUUGUGUCGCUGUCUCCGUUUGGGUUCCUUUUAUUUAUUUAUUUUCGUGCCGUUACUUGGUGAGUUUGUUUUGGCACCCUCCUCGGUUUCUCGCGUGAGCUGCAGUCGCCGGUGCCGGUUUCAGAUGUGUGUUUGUGGGGCUGUGUGUCACCCUGUGCACGAACAGACGCUCUCGCGUCAGUAGGAGGGGAUUGUGGGAAAAAAAGGGGCGUAGCUCUCAGAGGGUGUGCUCCACUCCUCUCUUUUCCCUUCUUCCCGCCAUCAUGGCCCUCUUCUCCUCCAGUCCUCUGGCCCAGGCCGCCGCUCACAUAUCGUGCUUCAGGUAUUUUCCCCUUUUUAUCCUGAAACACCUCUCGCUGCUUAUUUCGCCGCCCUGUAAUGUUGCUCUCAUACUUCCUCUGUCCUUCGUCGCGAUCUCGGUCUUGUAAACGUGUCGCUCGUCGUCUGCUGCCACGCCGCACGCCGCCAUUUUGGCUCGGUGGGCAAAUCAGGAGAAACUUUUGUCGAGCUCAGAGGGUCGCCGGGACUCCCUGCCAUCUCUAGGGUCCCUUCGCACGCUGUUGGCUCUCUUCUCUCAUGCUCGUCUUCCCUUCCCUCUCUGCUCUCAGACCAAGCGCUGAACAAUCUUUUCGUGUUUUUCCAUAACGAACAAACAGGUGCCGCGCUGCAUAAUGGCGGGCGCGAGUACAGGUCUUGUUCGUUAACUUUAAAGCGUUGACCAAAUGUGGUAAGUGAGUGGAACUCUCGAAGGAUCACAAACGCAGGACGACUGAGGCGCUCUUAUCGUUGUGAGCGGUUAUGAUAAGUAACACAAUGUUUCUUAUUCCCCUUACGCAAUCUUUGCACUUUUGUCUUUGAGGAAAACAUUUUUUUUUUUAAGGAACGAGCACAUUUCUGGUUUGUACAAUCCAGUAGCGUGACAUUCUUUCGAAAGUGGCAACUGUAAUGUUUGUCUUAUCAUCUGUCGAUGUGUGCUGAUCAUUUGCAUCGUGAAACGGAGUCAGGGUGAACACAGCUGACACAGAAGAAGAAAAAAACGUGCAGAUGAGCAAAAAUGCCUUUGUACUCUACAUGCCGUAACUGGAAGGCUAAAAGUGACCAUUUGGACAGCUUCACGCUACCUUAAAGAGAACAAAAAUGAUCACCAAUCUGUAUACGUUUAAAUAAUCUGUAUUUCUGCCACUUGUGUUAAUACUGUCUCUCAGUAGCACUUGGUUCUAAGAUGGCGCUGCAAUGCCACGUGUCGGAAGAAGGGCAAAUAUGGGCGGGCGCCAUGCUUCCUCGGCCUAUUAGUCCAGAUUGUGUCACAUCGGCAGGUCUCAUUCAGUCGCUCACUUGUUUGGGCAUUAAGAUGCAAACGAAUACCUUGAUCAGGCAGUCAAUUUAGGAGCCUUGUCACGCGAGCGCGAUGAGAGAAAGACGGCGAAGAAAAGGAGAGACGACACGGGUGCAUGAGAGAUGGGAGUGGCAGAGCUCCCUCCCUGCAUUCUCGCGUGUCCUCAGAUGAACUUUGUGUGUUUACUCAUUAUGUUUCUCCUCGAGGCAGUCAGGCUGACUUCCUGCUUGUAGCUGAUUGGCUGAUGUCUUGGCUGACCUGUUGCUGUUGGCAGCAAGGCGACAGGAAGUUUCUGGUCUGAAACAGGAAGCUGCAGCUGUUUGAGCCGAAUCAUGCCAUACCUUUGUGUCUGUACGCGUCGAGUGGCUUCCGUGUAACGACGGGGUUGUGUUUGGUUCGGAACAUUAAGCCUUGGUUACUUGCAAUAAGCAAAUAUAUUUUUUCAUUGUUUUCCUCCGAAUGUUCUGGAUUUUGAUUACGGUAUCGCCAAAGGAAGUAGCCAUUGCGCAUAUGCAACCAACGUCAUGUUGACUUCUUCCGACAGCAAACGAGUGAGAUUCAAUCAACAGCCCCUCUGCUGGUUGAAGCCAAGUAGUGCACUCCAGUUGGCCUCAAUUUCUUCAAUAUGGAAUUCUUAAUCAAUGAAUCGAUGAAACCCAACCCAAAUGGUGAGCGCACGUUUGAUUGGGAUAUCAGCGAAGGUCUCUCUCUACAAGCCAAGCAGAGGAGAAAGAAAUAUUCUUAGACAAAACCAAAUGACAUUGCAAAUGAAUCUGUCAAGCUUUAGGGGUUGAACGACUGCCGAUAUUUUUGUCGCCGACUACAUGUGAGGAGUCGCGUUAAUAAAACGAUGUCACUGAUAUUUUGUGAUGAGUCGUUUCGUGUCAAUAAAAUGAUGAGGUCUCUGAUAUUUUGCGAUCAGUCGUGUUGCGUCAAUAAAAUGAUGACGUCGUUGAUAUUUUUUCAGCACAGUAUAGCUGUCCCCAACCUUUUUUUGCGCCAUGGACUGUUUUCACGAAAAGAUGUGAUAGCGUGUUGUGAUAGGAAUAAAUAAUAAUAAUAAAAUCAGACUGCAACGUUUAUGCUUGGCCAGCUUUCAAGAAUACAGGCUUAUCUACGUUUGAAAAGAAUGGUGGGACAGUUUCAUAGUGACACAAUGGAGCAUUUACUACCACAUUAUCUGAGUCUCUCACGUUUGCCCUCCUUUUAUUCCCGUCGGGCUGCAAAGCGUCAGAGGUAUUUUCAUGUAAUCAACACGUCGUAAAGCAGGAUCCACCAAACUGACGGUCCAGGCCAAACAACUGUAUCACUGUGGUUGAGAACAUGCAUUUGUGUGCGCAUGCUUUCUUUUGUCUUUGAGACUGGCUAAUGAGGAGCUAAAGAACAUUAGGUGCAGGCAACACACCAAGCGGGCAUUAAGGGAGCUCUGCGCCAGUUGCAGAGCAAAUGCGACGGAUUGGGAACAAGUAAAAGAAGUAAAGUGACUCUGGACUCUCACCAUGACAAGACAACUUAGGUGCAUGCUUUUUCGAUCAUCUUAACUGUGGGAAUUUUUCAUUCAUCCAAUUAUGUGGCAUACUGCUCUGCCAACUCCCCCCUCCUUGCCGCCGCCGCCUUCCUCCCUCAUUGAAAUUCUGCCAGGCACACAGACACUGCCCAUUCUUGGCAUCAAGCUCGGAGGGAAACUGCGACCAAAAGAGUGACAGAGACACAUUCUUCUGCAGUAGUCUGGUGACAACUUGGUAUUUGUGCCAAGCAUUCUCCACGACAGGAAAGACUGACGGAUAUUUCCUUGACUUUACGGUUUUUGAUCAGCCACUGGCUAUUUUUUUGGGUGUCUGCUGAUUUACAAAAUGAUUUGUGUUUUACAGAAAUGUAACACGCCCAGACUGUUCUUGCAACUGAGCAAAACCAAAACCUAUUUGUUAAAUGUUAGCUUCAUUGAUGAACUUUAUUUUCAUUGUUUUAUUCACUGUUGGAGUUGAGAUGGUGAUGGUGGCGUGUACAAACAAGUGGUUAAAUGAUACAAAAUAUUAAAACAAACAAAGAUUGUAUUAUUGUUGUAAUUUAUUUGGUCAAGAGAGUCAUUUUCGUAAUCCUACCGAACAUUAUGAGGUAACUUCCCUCAUAUGUUUUCAGAGACAUUAUGACCAGCAUUUUGUCUUUCUUCCACCUUACUGACCAGUACGCAUUUGUAAUAGCUUAACAUCUACUUAAUAUAAUGAAUAUAAAGUUCAAUGGAAAAUCUUUUUUUUUUUUUUUAUUGUGAGGGGGAGAAUGGAAAAGUAAUAAAGGAAAAAUAAACUUCUAGAGAUGUUGAAUCAGAUGUUUCUGGACUGUGAUACAAUUCACCCAGAAUUGGAGUUUUCAGCCAUUUGACCCACGUUUCCCCCUAAACUAGCCCGCGUCAUAUCAAUAUUAGGCUGUCCAUCUUUCGUUGGCUGUCAGGAGCUGUUUUCUUCCUGGCCAAACACAGCUUGUACAUGUGCCAUUGGCACUGUUGCAGGGAUGGGCAUGAUGCCAAUGCAUCCCUCCUCCCCACCUCUGCCCGUCUGGUCCUCAAAUCAGACGGAAAGAGUGUGUGGACGUUAAUGAUGGGCUGCUCGGGACCUGUGUCAGGCUGUAUGCUAAUUUAUGUUUCUCUGACUAUUUGAAAUACUCAAUGACCCCCCCCCAACACGUUACCUCCCCGACCUUGAUCUGCGAUUGAGUCGUCUGAAUGAUUUGGCUUAGUAUCGCCGCUUGGCACAAGUUCGAGUCUCCAUCACUCGAGAUGGAACAGCAUCAGGGAACGGCAGAAUGGAAAAAGAAAUGUUUUAUUGCAGAGCUAAAAUGGCCGGUGCGUAAGUCGCCAUUUUGUGUUUCCUUGUUUUGUUUCGGAGAGCAGAAUCCCAGUCAUGUAUCCGAUCCGAGGCAGCUGGUGGCAGCCAUGUUUGCAGGCGCGCCAGUGUGUGUGUGUGUGUGUGUGUACUUUAUCUGAGAAGCAGCGCAGGGAUAGCCCGCUGGAACCAGCUCAGUUUUUGGCAAAAUCGGAAAUGAGCCGCUAGCAAGGAGGCGAGCCGUUUUUUUUUUUUUUCCUCCCCCUAUUUCCCUUUCGAUCGCAUGAAAGAGUAUCAGGAAGCCAGAGCGUGACCUUGAUGGCUCCACCGAGCGAGGCAACAUGAAUGCUGCCCUUGGGCCUGAGGUAGUAGAUUGAAUAGUUGUGAGGGUUGUGUAGCCUCUUUUCCAGAUAACUAUACAAUCUACUGUCUUUCCCAAGGAGACAGCUUACUCAGCCAGUCAUCGCCCAGGCGACAAUUGCGCUUUGCACAUGCGGGCAGCACGCAGAGAUUGCUGCGAGCGUUUCUGCGUUUGCUUUCCAAGUGGUGUAUUAGGUUACUUGACAGGUGGAUGCGCAUUUGAAUCGGGCUUUGUCAGGGUGAGGUAGUAGGUUGUAUAGUUUGGUGGGUGGGUCUGCACCCUGCUCAGGUGAUAACUAUACAGUCUAUUGCCUUCCUUGAGAAGCUCACCGACAACCAACCGAUUACAGCACUGGUUCCCUGCAAACUUUUAUGGAGCCGCAUCACAUAUUUAACAAAAAAUAAAUAAAAAAUCUCAUCGAACACCAGCAAACAAAACUCUCACAGGAUGUAUGUUUUACGAUGAUUUCAUCUUAAUUUACUGAACACAAAGUUAUUAUUCUGUUGUACGUAUGGCAACAAGUGGAUACAUAGGUUCAUUGUGCCUACUGCCAUCCAUUUUAUGGUUAUGCCUGUCACUAUACGUCGGUGGCAUAGUUAGAUAAACAAAAUUAACUCUAGAACUGGUGCAUAAAUAAUAAUUUCCGCACCAAUUAAGUGAAAUUGGAUCAUUUGCCAUGGCAUACCUGAUGAUCUCUCACGGCGCAAUGGUUUCGAAAUCACAGUACAGUAUUGAACGACACAUCGAUCACAGUGUUCACGUCAUUGCAUGUGUCAUGUGACUAACUUGCAGUUUGUAAAUGAUAAUAAAGUUUUUCAAGUGA
Long non-coding RNA from Phyllopteryx taeniolatus (common seadragon), 5437 nucleotides. RefSeq lists it as uncharacterized. NCBI's taxonomy places the organism in Eukaryota, Metazoa, Chordata, Actinopteri, Syngnathiformes, Syngnathidae. The record is from RefSeq and is a predicted model, not a curated record. The transcript is spliced from 2 exons.